GACAGAGGGUGCAAACGUUGUUCGGAAUCACUGGGCGUAAAGCGUGUGUAGGCUGUCAGAUAAGUCGGAUGUGAAAGCCCCGGGCUCAACCUGGGAAGUGCAUUCGAUACUGUUUGACUUGAGUACUGGAGAGGUUGGUGGAAUUCUCGGUGUAGAGGUGAAAUUCGUAGAUAUCGGGAAGAACAUCUGUGGCGAAGGCGGCCAACUGGACAGAUACUGACGCUGAGACACGAAAGCGUGGGGAGCAAACAGG
Molecule: ribosomal RNA, 253 nt
Filed under: uncultured bacterium
Lineage: Bacteria
Description: partial 16S ribosomal RNA
Rfam family: Bacterial small subunit ribosomal RNA
Source: RNAcentral